CCUUACCUGGGUUUGACAUGUCGGUGGUAGCGAACCGAAAGGGAGUGACCCCGCAAGGGGAGCCGACACAGGUGCUGCAUGGCUGUCGUCAGCUCGUGUCGUGAGAUGUUGGGUUAAGUCCCGCAACGAGCGCAACCCUCGCCCCUAGUUGCCAGCGGGUCAUGCCGGGAACUCUAGGGGGACUGCCCCGGUUAACGGGGAGGAAGGUGGGGAUGACGUCAAGUCAUCAUGGCCUUUAUGCCCAGGGCCACACACGUGCUACAAUGGCCGGUACAAAGGGUUGCAAACCCGUGAGGGGGAGCCAAUCCCAAAAAGCUGGUCCCAGUUGGGAUCGCAGUCUGCAACUCGACUGCGUGAACGCGGAAUCGCUAGUAAUCGCGAAUCAGCAGGUCGCGGUGAAUACGUUCCCGGGUCCUGUACACACCGCCCGUCACACCACGAAAGCCGACUGUACUUGAAGUCGCUGGGCUAACCCGCAAGGGAGGCAGGCGCCGAAGGUAUGAUCGGUGAUUGGGGUGAAGUCGUAACAAGGUAAGCGUAGAUGA
RNAcentral lists this ribosomal RNA (545 nucleotides) under uncultured bacterium. Its description in RNAcentral is "bacterial SSU rRNA". It matches the Rfam family "Bacterial small subunit ribosomal RNA", at positions 969 to 1509 of the family's 1533-position model. The record is from RNAcentral.